Molecule: ribosomal RNA, 251 nt
Filed under: uncultured prokaryote
Description: partial 16S rRNA
Rfam family: Bacterial small subunit ribosomal RNA
Source: RNAcentral
ACGUAGGGGGCGAGCGUUGUCCGAAUUCACUGGGCGUAAAGCGCGCGUAGGCGGAUUUUUAAGUUGGGGGUGAAAUGCCGAGGCUCAACCUCGGAACUGCCUUCAAAACUGGGAGUCUUGAGGUAUGGAGAGGGAAGUGGAAUUCCAGGUGUAGCGGUGAAAUGCGUAGAUAUCUGGAGGAACACCCGUGGCGAAGGCGGCUUCCUGGCCAUAUCCUGACGCUGAGGUGCGAAAGCUAGGGGAGCGAACGG